RNAcentral lists this ribosomal RNA (305 nucleotides) under uncultured bacterium. RNAcentral describes it as "partial 16S ribosomal RNA". It matches the Rfam family "Bacterial small subunit ribosomal RNA", at positions 505 to 809 of the family's 1533-position model. The record is from RNAcentral.
ACAGCAGUCGCCACGGGAAAACGUAGGUGGCAAGCGUUGUCCGGAAUUAUUGGGCGUAAAGCGCGCGCAGGCGGAUCAGUCAGUCUGUCUUAAAAGUUCGGGGCUUAACCCCGUGAUGGGAUGGAAACUGCUGAUCUAGAGUAUCGGAGAGGAAAGUGGAAUUCCUAGUGUAGCGGUAAAAUGCGUAGAUAUUAGGAAGAACACCAGUGGCGAAGGCGACUUUCUGGACGAAAACUGACGCUGAGGCGCGAAAGCCAGGGGAGCGAACGGGAUUAGAUACCCCUGUAGUCCCUGUCUCUUAUACA